GACGAACGCUGGCGGCGUGCUUAACACAUGCAAGUCGAACGGAAAGGCCCUGCUUUUGUGGGGUGCUCGAGUGGCGAACGGGUGAGUAACACGUGAGUAACCUGCCCUUGAGUUUGGGAUAACUUCAGGAAACUGGGGCUAAUACCGGAUAGGAGCUCCAGCUGCAUGGUGGGGGUUGGAAAGUUUCGGCGGUUGGGGAUGGACUCGCGGCUUAUCAGCUUGUUGGUGGGGUAGUGGCUUACCAAGGCUUUGACGGGUAGCCGGCCUGAGGGGGUGACCGGCCACAUUGGGACUGCGAUACGGCCCAGAAUCCUACGGGGGGCAGCAGUGGGGAAUAUUGCACAGUGGGCGGAAGCCUGAUGCAGCAACGCCGCGUGCGGGAUGACGGCCUUCGGGUUGUAAACCGCUUUCGCCUGUGACGAAGCGUGAGUGACGGUAAUGGGUAAAGAAGCACCGGCUAACUACGUG
RNAcentral lists this ribosomal RNA (468 nucleotides) under uncultured bacterium. RNAcentral describes it as "partial 16S ribosomal RNA". It matches the Rfam family "Bacterial small subunit ribosomal RNA", at positions 28 to 507 of the family's 1533-position model. The record is from RNAcentral.